GACGGUAUGGUAUUGGCUUACCGUGGCAGUGACGGCUAACGGGGAAUUAGGGUUCUAUUCCGGAGAGGGAGCAUGAGAAACGGCUACCACAUCUAAGGAAGGCAGCAGGCGCGCAAAUUACCCAAUCCUAACAGAACAAGGGAGGUAGUGACAAGAAGUAACAAUACAAGGCUGUUAAAACGUUUUGUAAUUGGAAUGAUAGAAAUUUAAACACUUUCUAAAGUAUCAAUUGGAGGGCAAGUCUGGUGCCAGCAGCCGCGGUAAUUCCAGCUCCAAUAGCGUAUAUUAAAGUUGUUGCAGUUAAAAAGCUCGUAGUUGGAUUUCUGCUAAAAUUAACCAGCCUGCUUUUAAUAAAAGUGGUAUUUGGUAUGUUUUUAGCAUUAAUGUCCUAAAAAAUGUUUUUCGCUUCAUUGCAAAAAGCAGUAUUUAGGGUUUUUACUUUGAGAAAAUUAGAGUGUUUCAAGCAGACUUACGUUUUGAAUACUGCAGCAUGGAAUAAUAAGAUAGGAUUUUGGUUCUACAUUAUUGGUUUUAAGAGCUAAAUUAAUGAUUAAUAGGGACAGUUGGGGGCAUUUGUAUUUAACUGUCA
Molecule: ribosomal RNA, 589 nt
Filed under: Coccidia sp. Sauroplasma-like PU3
Lineage: Eukaryota; Apicomplexa; Conoidasida
Description: SSU rRNA
Rfam family: Eukaryotic small subunit ribosomal RNA
Source: RNAcentral